RNAcentral lists this ribosomal RNA (253 nucleotides) under uncultured bacterium. Its description in RNAcentral is "partial 16S ribosomal RNA". It matches the Rfam family "Bacterial small subunit ribosomal RNA", at positions 524 to 776 of the family's 1533-position model. The record is from RNAcentral.
CACGUAGGGGGCAAGCGUUGUCCGGAUUUAUUGGGCGUAAAGAGCUCGUAGGCGGUUCGGUAAGUCGGGUGUGAAAGCCCCGGGCUCAACCUGGGAACCGCGCUUGAGACUGGCACGCUCGAGUUCGGGAGAGGAUGGUGGAAUUCCCAGUGUAGAGGUGAAAUUCGUAGAUAUUGGGAAGAACACCGAUGGCGAAGGCAGCCAUCUGGACCGACACUGACGCUGAGGCGCGAAAGCGUGGGGAGCAAACAGG